GACGAACGCUGGCGGCGUGCCUAAUACAUGCAAGUAGAACGCUGAGGUUUGGUGUUUACACUAGACUGAUGAGUUGCGAACGGGUGAGUAACGCGUAGGUAACCUGCCUCAUAGCGGGGGAUAACUAUUGGAAACGAUAGCUAAUACCACAUAAGAGUAAUUAACACAUGUUAGUUAUUUAAAAGGAGCAAUUGCUUCACUGUGAGAUGGACCUGCGUUGUAUUAGCUAGUUGGUGAGGUAAAGGCUCACCAAGGCGACGAUACAUAGCCGACCUGAGAGGGUGAUCGGCCACACUGGGACUGAGACACGGCCCAGACUCCUACGGGAGGCAGCAGUAGGGAAUCUUCGGCAAUGGACGGAAGUCUGACCGAGCAACGCCGCGUGAGUGAAGAAGGUUUUCGGAUCGUAAAGCUCUGUUGUUAGAGAAGAACGUUGGUAGGAGUGGAAAAUCUACCAAGUGACGGUAACUAACCAGAAAGGGACGGCUAACUACGUGCCAGCAGCCGCGGUAAUACGUAGGUCCCGAGCGUUGUCCGGAUUUAUUGGGCGUAAAGCGAGCGCAGGCGGUUCUUUAAGUCUGAAGUUAAAGGCAGUGGCUUAACCAUUGUACGCUUUGGAAACUGGAGGACUUGAGUGCGGAAGGGGAGAGUGGAAUUCCAUGUGUAGCGGUGAAAUGCGUAGAUAUAUGGAGGAACACCGGUGGCGAAAGCGGCUCUCUGGUCUGUAACUGACGCUGAGGCUCGAAAGCGUGGGGAGCAAACA
Molecule: ribosomal RNA, 763 nt
Filed under: uncultured Streptococcus sp.
Lineage: Bacteria; Bacillati; Bacillota; Bacilli; Lactobacillales; Streptococcaceae
Description: bacterial SSU rRNA
Rfam family: Bacterial small subunit ribosomal RNA
Source: RNAcentral